AUAUGAAAAUGAGGAAAGUUAAUGCAAAGGUGAUGAUUAAUUUCAUUUGAUCAAAACCUAUUCGCUACGUUCUUUCUGAUUCAUUU
Non-coding RNA from Citrus sinensis (sweet orange), 86 nucleotides. NCBI's taxonomy places the organism in Eukaryota, Viridiplantae, Streptophyta, Magnoliopsida, Sapindales, Rutaceae. The record is from Rfam.